GACGAACGCUGGCGGCGUGCUUAACACAUGCAAGUCGAACGGAAAAGCCCUGUUUUUGUUGGGUGCUCGAGUGGCGAACGGGUGAGUAACACGUGAGUAACCUGCCCUUGACUUUGGGAUAACUUCAGGAAACUGGGGCUAAUACCGGAUAGGAGCUCCUGCUGCAUGGUGGGGGUUGGAAAGUUUCGGCGGUUGGGGAUGGACUCGCGGCUUAUCAGCUUGUUGGUGGGGUAGUGGCUGACCAAGGAUUUGACGGGUAGCCGGCCUGAGAGGGUGACCGGGCACAUUGGGACGGAGAUACGGCCCAGACUGCUACGGGAGGCAGCGGUGGGGAAUAUGGCACAAUGGGCGGAAGCCGGAUGCAGCAACGCCGCGUGCGGGAUGACGGCCUUCGGGUUGUAAACCGCUUUCGCCUGGGACGAAGCGUGAGUGACGGUAAUGGGUAAAGAAGCACCGGCUAACUACGUG
This 468-nucleotide ribosomal RNA is filed under the name uncultured bacterium. RNAcentral describes it as "partial 16S ribosomal RNA". It matches the Rfam family "Bacterial small subunit ribosomal RNA", at positions 28 to 507 of the family's 1533-position model. The record is from RNAcentral.